GGGCUGGUUGAGUAUGGCGGCUCACUGGUUUUCUCCAGAAACGCAGGUUCAAAUCCUGCCCAGUCCA
Molecule: transfer RNA, 67 nt
Filed under: Anaerolineae bacterium
Lineage: Bacteria; Bacillati; Chloroflexota; Anaerolineae
Description: tRNA-OTHER
Rfam family: tRNA
About the family: Transfer RNA (tRNA) molecules are approximately 80 nucleotides in length. Their secondary structure includes four short double-helical elements and three loops (D, anti-codon, and T loops). Further hydrogen bonds mediate the characteristic L-shaped molecular structure. tRNAs have two regions of fundamental functional importance: the anti-codon, which is responsible for specific mRNA codon recognition, and the 3' end, to which the tRNAs corresponding amino acid is attached (by aminoacyl-tRNA synthetases). tRNAs cope with the degeneracy of the genetic code in two manners: having more than one tRNA (with a specific anti-codon) for a particular amino acid; and 'wobble' base-pairing, i.e. permitting non-standard base-pairing at the 3rd anti-codon position.
Source: RNAcentral